Molecule: ribosomal RNA, 506 nt
Filed under: uncultured bacterium
Lineage: Bacteria
Description: partial 16S ribosomal RNA
Rfam family: Bacterial small subunit ribosomal RNA
Source: RNAcentral
GUUGAACGCUAACGGCAUGCUUAACACAUGCAAGUCGAACGGCAGCACGGUCGUAGCAAUACGAUGGGUGGCGAGUGGCGGACGGGUGAGUAAUAUAUAGGAAUCUGCCUUGUAGUGGGGGAUAACCCGGGGAAACUCGGGCUAAUACCGCAUAAUCUUUACGAAGCAAAGUGGGGGAUCGUAAGACCUUACGCUAUAAGAUGAGCCUAUAUUGGAUUAGCUAGUUGGUGGGGUAAAGGCCUACCAAGGCGACGAUCCAUAGCUGGUCUGAGAGGAUGAUCAGCCACACUGGGACUGAGACACGGCCCAGACUCCUACGGGAGGCAGCAGUGGGGAAUAUUGGACAAUGGGCGAAAGCCUGAUCCAGCAAUGCCGUGUGUGUGAAGAAGGCCUUAGGGUUGUAAAGCACUUUUAGUGGAGAAGAAAAGCUCAUGGGUAAUAUCCAUGAGUGCUGACGUUAUCCACGGAAAAAGCACUGGCUAACUCUGUGCCAGCAGCCGCAGUAA